UGCUAGAUUCGAAAGGGUCAGCCCGACGAGACGCGCCGUACCGGGAUCCCCGACCCUCAGGAAAAGCACCAGAGGAAAAGCACCAGGAAAAGACGACGCACC
RNAcentral lists this non-coding RNA (102 nucleotides) under Streptomyces sp. The record is from RNAcentral. RNAcentral also lists the same sequence under 1 other name. Lineage: Bacteria; Bacillati; Actinomycetota; Actinomycetes; Kitasatosporales; Streptomycetaceae.